UUUGGAUCCAAUUUAGUAACUUGUUGACGAACAUCUUAUGCAAACAAAUACUAUCAAAUAUGUGGGAUUCAAUAGGAAACAAAGAUUUAUAUAAAACAAAAUAGUAUAAGAAAUUUCACUAUUAGGGACAAAAGAGGGUAUGCAAUUGAUUAAAAAACAAGUUGUAGAUAGUGCAUUAGGUAGUGCUCUAGCUACCUUAAGGAGAUGUCAGAUCUUUAUUUAUUUAACUCCAUUUUGGGAUGGAAUAUCGAUACAAGAGGACUGAUGGAGAAUGCCAUUAUUUAACAUAUAUCACUUCGCAAUGUCCGCGCAGAAACAUUAAAUAGUGUUUUAAUUUUAGCAUAAAAGGCACAAAAAAUAGAAAAUA
Molecule: unclassified non-coding RNA, 367 nt
Filed under: Hevea brasiliensis (rubber tree)
Lineage: Eukaryota; Viridiplantae; Streptophyta; Magnoliopsida; Malpighiales; Euphorbiaceae
Source: RNAcentral